CGCUCAGAUUGAACGCUGGCGGCAUGCCUUACACAUGCAAGUCGAACGGUAACAGGUUAAGCUGACGAGUGGCGAACGGGUGAGUAAUGUAUCGGAACGUGCCUAGUCGUGGGGGAUAACGUAGCGAAAGCUACGCUAAUACCGCAUACGAUCCAUGGAUGAAAGCGGGGGACCUUCGGGCCUCGCGCGAUUAGAGCGGCCGAUAUCAGAUUAGGUAGUUGGUGGGGUAAAGGCCCACCAAGCCAACGAUCUGUAGCUGGUCUGAGAGGACGACCAGCCACACUGGAACUGAGACACGGUCCAGACUCCUACGGGAGGCAGCAGUAGGGAAUAUUGGGCAAUGGACGCAAGUCUGACCCAGCCAUGCCGCGUGCAGGAUGAAGGCGUUAUGCGUUGUAAACUGCUUUUAUACAGGAAGAAACGACCCUUGCGAGAGGCAUUGACGGUACUGUAUGAAUAAGCACCGGCUAACUCCGUG
Molecule: ribosomal RNA, 478 nt
Filed under: uncultured bacterium
Lineage: Bacteria
Description: bacterial SSU rRNA
Rfam family: Bacterial small subunit ribosomal RNA
Source: RNAcentral